UACGGGGGGUGCGGAGCGUUGUCCGGAAUCACUGGGCGUAAAGCGUGACGCAGGCGGUGAUGUAAGACAGUUGUGAAAUCCCCGGGCUCAACCUGGGAACUGCAUCUGUGACUGCAUCGCUGGAGUGCGGCAGAGGGGGAUGGAAUUCCGCGUGUAGCAGUGAAAUGCGUAGAUAUGCGGAGGAACACCGAUGGCGAAGGCAAUCCCCUGGGCCUGCACUGACGCUCAUGCACGAAAGCGUGGGGAGCAAACAGG
Molecule: ribosomal RNA, 255 nt
Filed under: uncultured bacterium
Lineage: Bacteria
Description: partial 16S ribosomal RNA
Rfam family: Bacterial small subunit ribosomal RNA
Source: RNAcentral